Long non-coding RNA from Cydia pomonella (codling moth), 4597 nucleotides. RefSeq lists it as uncharacterized. The record is from RefSeq and is a predicted model, not a curated record. Lineage: Eukaryota; Metazoa; Arthropoda; Insecta; Lepidoptera; Tortricidae. The transcript has 2 exons.
UUAUUGUGAAUAAAAAAUCUUAUCGUCUUGCAAAAGUUAUUGUCAUAAAUGUAUAGGUUUCGAAUACAUGAAUAUAAAGUUAAAAUGCUGGUAAAAGUAUUAGUUUUUAUCAUUAACCAUUUUAUAUCCCAACAAAACUGUUACCCUUACAAAAAUAAAAUGCUUUCAUUACCUAAUGUAGGUUACGUUAGGUAAUAAAUAAAUAAAUAGGUAGGGACAAUCUUACACAGAUUGGCCCCAAACUAAUCAAAGCUUGUACUAUGGGUACUAGGCGACGUUAAACAUACUUAUUUAGAUAAAUAUAUAUUUACGUAUAUACAUAGAAAACACGCAUGCCUUAGGAACAAAUAUCUGUAUUCAUCACACAAAGAAAUGCCCUUACGCGAUUCAAACUCGGGACCAUCGGCUUCAUACUUCAUAGGCAGGGUCACUACCCACUAGGCCAAACCGGUCGGCAAAAGGUAAAGAUAAUUAGGUAAAGACAAUGAAUAAUUAAACGUAUUAUAAAUUGACACCAAUAUCCAUCAAAUAGUAUAACUAGGUAUGCUAAGAGCGGGCUUCAGGCCAUUACGUCGCACCUUUAGAAUUAAACUAAUUUGACUCAAAAAGUACGACCUUUAUAUAUGUAGUUUGGUAGAACAGUAAGAACUCACUAUAUGUGUCUCUUUUUCAUGCGGUGAAAUCCCCCCCCACCCGGAAAGGGUAGCGACGCCCAUUUUAUCGACUCUCGAGCCGACUCCAAUCUGAUACUAAUAAAACCAUACGGAAAUAAUGAGGAUGCAUCGACAUAAGAAGAAUCGAACAUGGGCAAGAUAAAGUUCAAGAAAAAAGCAAAUAUAAUGUGUACUUGUGUGUAGUCAAAGAAAGUUGAAAAAUAAAGCAUAAUUAAUGGCCAUAGAAUACAGAACCGAUACACGAACAUUAAGACUAUUAAAAAUAGACAUAUAGGUUGAUCGUACUACUCGUACUAAUGUAUUUCUUUUGUUCAAUUAUAGUAUUGCAUUAAAGUUAGAUUCUCUAGAUAUAUAUUAUUCAUAGGUUCUGUAUUCUAUACGAAUUGUUUCAGUGUAAUUAUUGUACUAAAUACCGUUGACCGCCUGUCAACAGUAUUUAUUUCUACAUUACUAUCACAGAAGAUUUUAGGCCCUACAGUAGUUUUUGAAUUAGUAUUUACUAUGGACAAAUAUAGCGAAAUGUGAGUUUUUACCUAAAAUAUCAAUCUUUUGUGAACGUGGUGUAGAGUAUAUACCGCCUAAGACUGAAGUAGCUACGCGGGCAACGUUUUCAAAAUAGAAUCGUGUUCAUGGUCGGCCCAUGGUAAAAAUAAUUAGGUACACGUAGACCCGCUAAAUAAACCCCGUGGACCCACCAGGAGAACAUAUUGGAGAGACUGGAGAUAAUACACCGCUUUAAGGGCGGUCGCACUCGGCAUUGACAUCUGGCGUAUAGAUGGCGGGUGGACCUCAGCGAAUUUCAAAGAAAUAUUUAUAAACAUCCAAUGACGUCCGGCUCGGACACCAGAUCUUCAAUCUCCUGAUUCCUGUGGAGUCUCCAGGUUCCAUCCUCUCCACGUGUGAGUCCUAGGAUUUUUCGCGCUGCCAGACUCCGAUGACUCAGGCACGUAGUCCAGAUGGGUGAGGAUCGUGCAGCCUGGAGGGCGUACUCUGAAGUUCCAAAUGGCCGAAGACCGUCUAGACGUCCUAGGUAGGUACCGCUGGAGAGAUGAAAUGCAAAAAGACCUUAGCGAACUCGGCGCCGUCGACUAGAUGGAAACGGUUUUGGACAGAGAAGCAUGGCGGUCUUUGGUGUCGGAGGCCAAGAUCCACUUCGGGUCGCUGCGCCAUAGCAGUAAGUAAGUAUUUAUAAACAUACUGUACCUUCUGUGUACCUAACCCAAAACGAGAUAUUUAAGAAAAAGUCCACCCGCCAUUCUGACGUCAGGAUUGCGGUUGGACCUAUGAAAUCUUGCAUUAUACCGCACUAAAAGUAUGCAGUUAUAUGGUACAGUCGCCAUCAGAUAUAUCGGAGUGGCCGAGGUGCUCAAAGAUCUCUAAACACGCACUCUAACCUCUUGACAGUAGAGGCAUGUUCAGAUAUUCGUGGGUACCUUGGCCGCUCCGAUAUAUAUGAUGGUGACUGUACCUUCAGUGUACCUCUGUAAAUAGAAAUAGAAACCGGUGUACCUCUCCCCAAAACAAGCUAGGCUAAGCUCAUGCACAAUAUAACUGCAUACUUUUAGUGCGGUAUAAUGCAAGAUUUCAUAGGUCCACCCGCCAUCCUGACGUCAGGUUGGCGGGUGGACCGUUUUGUAAAAUAUCUCGUUUUGGGGAAAGGUACACUGGUUUAUAUUAAAGGUACACUGAGGUACACAGAAGGUACAAUAUGUUUAUAAAUAUUUCUUUGAAAUUCGCUGAGGUCCACCGCCAUCCUGACGCUUACCAUAUAUCUAAGGACCGACCUUAGGGGCAAUAACGAUAGUGCUAGUUCAGCUGUGUCAUUCACAAAUUCGAGCCAAUCGUGCUGUCUAACGCAACUAGAUGCGAUCAAUCGCGUGCAUAAUGCGAACUCAUCAACCAAUCACGUUGUGUUACUUGUGGCGUUAGACUGCACGAUUGGCUCAAACUCGUGUGCGUAACACCGCUGUACUGGCCCCAUUCUUAUUGCCCGUAAGGCCCGUCCUCAGAUAUAUUAUGUCAACGACACAGUCGCGAUUUUAAAAAAUCACAUCGCUUCUGCUACCAAAUUGUUGAGCAUAACGUUUUCCUAUCCAUAGGUUCCAUCUGUCCAGUAGGAUCCACCAUCUCGAUCCACCAGAUUGAAGAGAUUGUUACUUAACUGAUGGAUCGAGAUAAUGAAACCUACUGAAUAGAGCGGGUCGAUUGGAUAUAACAAAGUACGCUUAUAUGAAACGCUACUCCGGUGUGCGAGUGAGACAGUCAGGCCAAUUUGAACUUGCAUUUGACAGAAAACUGACUCCAUCAAACGCUACCAGUUCCAUUGCCGGCCUCUUCGCUGCCUUCUAUAGUGGUUCAAUCUUACCUUGCUUAUGAAUAAAAAGGGGCGUGCACACCGAUAUUAGAGUAAUAUUGGAAUCAUAUCAGUUAGUUGCGGGCGUCUCGCUCGCACAAAUACAUGCGUAUAAGUGCGAAAUGAACACACGAAUGACAGCUAACUGGUAUCAUUCCAAUAUUCUAAAAUUGGUUUAAUGUCAGUUGCACUUUCGAAUUGGCCUACAUAGCGAUUUCCUUAGCCUGCACACCGGAUCGGCGUGUGGGCCGGCAUCUAGCUAAUGUAAAGCCACCUCAUUAGGUGCUUUACAUUAGUUACAAAAUACAAAAGGUUAAGGGCGUUUGCUAGCUGGCGCUAGUGCACGGAGCGGGCAAACACGCGCAGGUGCCUUUGUAAGUAAAAUCAGUCGCACGCGUCCGCGCCAGUUAGCGUUGCUCAUACUGUAAGAGCUCGUUCCCACUAUGUCGGAUGUCGUGGCGAUUUUUAAUCGUACGUUCCACUGGCAGAACAUUUUAUAUGAAGCUGUUCACACUCGUCCGACAACGAUUUUGUGUCGGAUACGACAAAAAAUGUCGUGCGUUUUGCCAGCCCUCCCAGCCCGGAAAAAAAUCGUGUCGUGUCUCGCUCGCGUACGAGUGAAUAUAGCGCUGUUCACAUUUUGUCGGAUGUCGGAACGAUUUCGCCCGCGCCGCCCUCGCGGCACCCCCUCACACACCCGCGCGUCGCUGCCGCGUCGUUGCGAUCGCUUCUUAAUUCAGCUAUCAAAUUCUGAAAUAUUCAUAAGGUAAAUCUUUCCCUGAGAAUUGGGUGUACCCAAUAUCUCCUUUUUUUAACUGCCUCUAAUCGUUUCUUUCGCAAAUAAUACAAAACCACAAACAUUUCGUUGACGUUCAUCUUGUACUAAGCCUCGCUACCCACUCGAAAAAUACACGCCAGCUGCGAUCGUGCACGACAGACGACUAGUGGGAACAGUACCGCCAACACCCGAUUGAAAUCCGGAUCCGACAUCCGACAUAGUGAGAACAGCGGCAACGACACACGAUUAAAAAUCGCCACGACAUCCGACAUAGUGGGAACGAGCUCUAAGCCGCACGCCCGCUCCAUGCACACGCGCGACGUUGCGGACGCCCUAUGCCCUAAACCUUACUUGAAAGUGUGAAGGUUACUCUGACAGCGGCUAUAUCAGCUAUAAUGUAUUUAUGACGCUUUGAGCAUAGCUAGUUACGACGCCUUAAGGUAUUCUUGGCGUUCAAAAGGUUAAGGACGUUUGCUAGCUGGCGCGAGUGCACGGAGCGGGUGCACGUGCGCGGGUGCCUUUGUAGGUAAAAUUCGUCGCACGCGUCCGCGCCAGCUAGCGUCGCCAGUUACUGUUUUUCGUUAACCCGCUUCAGCUAGCAAACUAAUCGCAAAUGGUCCGAGAUUGGCGCAAUAACCAUGCAUUCCCUUAUCUGGAUCUGGAUGCACCUAUUCACCAAUGCUUGCUUUAAAGUAACUUGUCGACUCGUCCUGAUAAUAUUUGUGCGACCGUGAAGAAAAUCUAUGCCGUCACUUAUUUUUCAAUUUAUAUGAAAUAAAGAUGUUAAAUGUA